GGUAGUAAGUGAGCUUAUAUGAGUUACAAGCAAAGCACUAGUUGCUAUAUUUACUCAUUGGAAGGUCGGAGACAAUGUAAAUAUGUCCUGUGAAGGGCUGUGCGUAAUUGUGCAUACACGCGAUCAGAAAUGGUGGCUACAGCCGUGUGAAUGUGGUCUGUUAGCCUUUGUAAUUGUGUGUAAACUGCGCUUUAAGUGAGAUUAGCUCAGUGGGAAACCAUAACUCAAUUCCGACUACUCUGCUACC
This 247-nucleotide RNase P RNA is filed under the name Hofstenia miamia. RNAcentral describes it as "nuclear RNase P". It matches the Rfam family "Nuclear RNase P". Rfam says of the family: Ribonuclease P (RNase P) is a ubiquitous endoribonuclease, found in archaea, bacteria and eukarya as well as chloroplasts and mitochondria. Its best characterised activity is the generation of mature 5'-ends of tRNAs by cleaving the 5'-leader elements of precursor-tRNAs. Cellular RNase Ps are ribonucleoproteins. Lineage: Eukaryota; Metazoa; Xenacoelomorpha; Acoela; Hofsteniidae. The record is from RNAcentral.